Molecule: ribosomal RNA, 440 nt
Filed under: uncultured bacterium
Lineage: Bacteria
Description: partial 16S ribosomal RNA
Rfam family: Bacterial small subunit ribosomal RNA
Source: RNAcentral
CCUACGGGCGGCAGCAGUGGGGAAUAUUGCACAAUGGGGGAAACCCUGAUGCAGCGACGCCGCGUGAGUGAAGAAGUAUCUCGGUACGUAAAGCUCUAUCAGCAGGGAAGAUAAUGACGGUACCUGACCAAGAAGCCCCGGCUAACUACGUGCCAGCAGCCGCGGUAAUACGUAGGGGGCAAGCGUUAUCCGGAUUUACUGGGUGUAAGGGGAGCGUAGACGGCAGCGCAAGUCUGGAGUGAAAUGCCGGGGCCCAACCCCGGAACUGCUCUGGAAACUGUGAAGCUGGAGUGCAGGAGAGGUAAGCGGAAUUCCUGGUGUAGCGGUGAAAUGCGUAGAUAUCAGGAGGAACACCGGCGGCGAAGGCGGCUUACUGGACUGUAACUGACGUUGAGGCUCGAAGGCGUGGGGAGCAAACAGGAUUAGAUACCCGGGUAGUC